AUAUCUAGGCAAAUUGCCUAGAAGUGAAUCCCCUCUCCUGCUUAAGUCCUUCCCACAGAGAGCGGUUUGAUAUGUCACUGAAACCAGCAUCCAGGUGGUAUUGCUCCAUAUGCCUGAGACCCUAACAAAAGCCUAAUUACAACUCAUAUGCCUGGAGCCAGGACAUGUGCAGGAUGGUGAUGUAACUUUCCUCUCUGGAAUGGGUCCUGCACAAAGGAAUGAUAGUAACAUAUUGCAAAGCCAGACACACAGCCAUGAUGGUCCAAGUUAUAUUGGGAUUCAGCCAAUAGAAGAUAUUUUGCCUGUCAUCCCUAAGCUUAGGACAAUAGGGUCCUGCCCACAAGAAAGAUUGUGACAUCUCACUGGACAAGCACCCACCCAGACUCUGCCAAGAGAGGGGAUUAUUACAUAUUGCAGAGCCCAGCACCUAGGUGGAGUGACUCUCAUCUUUUUCUUCUACCCCGUAUAUAGCCAGCUUGGUGACCUACUAUUUGAGUCUAUACCCAGGCCCAGACCACAGAUGAAAUUGUGCAAUAUGUGGAACAAACACCUAAACAAUAUAUAACACCUUCCUUGGCUCUGUCUACAAAGGGCACUUUUAUAUAUCACUGGGACCAUCAACCAGGUGAUGUUAAUUAUCUUCCUGAAACCUGUCUACAAAGAGAGUUGUGUCGUAUACCUAGGCCCGUCAUGUGAUGUUGUGCCAUAUAACUGAGACCGUAUCAAAAGCCUAAUAACAAGACGUAUGUCUGGAGCCCCGAUAUGCACAGGAUGGUGAUAUAACCCUCUUCUCUGGAAUGGGCCCCACACAAAGGAAGGAUAGUGACAUAUUGCAAGCCCAGGCACACAGGCCCAGAGCACAGUUGAAAUUGUGACAUAUGUACACCAAGCAACCAAGCAAUGUAUAACACCUCAUUUGGCAAUGGAAUCGAGGGCACUUUUACAUAUCACUGAGACCAGCGCCCAGCUGAUGUGAAAUAUUGGCCUGAACCCUGCCUACAAAAGCAUUGUGGCUUUUAUCUAGCUCCAUUACAUAAGUGAUGUGACUUCCUUCUACUGCCUUGGCCCUGCACUUAUGGUGAAUCGUGACACAAAAUUGGGUAGAGCAACCAGCCUGGGCCCUGACCAGCACAGAGAUUGAGGCAUAUUGCUGAACCCAGGACCAAGAUGAAGUCACUCUCCUGCCUUGAUCCUGCACACAGGGACCCUUGUGACAUAUAUACAGGCCAAUUGCCUAGGUGUUAUUGUCACAUAUACCUUUUCCAGCUCCAAAGUGAUUUAAUAAUCCAGCCUAGUUAUAGCCCACAGAUAAUAUUUGGACAUAUACCUGAGUCAAGAACCUUGGUGAUUUGACUCUCAUGUCUUAACAGUGUCCUCAGAAGGGAUCAUAACAUAUCUCUGGACCCAUCAUCUAGGUUAUGUGACUCUCUUCUCCUGCCUGAACCCUGCUUCCAGUGAAGAGUGUUGCAUUUCUAAGCACUGCAUCCAAAUGACAUGAGUUUCUUGCCUGGGCCGUUUCAACAGAAGGCAUUGUGACAUAUCUCUAGGUCUAUCAUUUAGGUGAUAUGACUCUCCUCUCCUGCCUGGACACUCUCCACAAGGGGCAUUAUGCCAUAGAGCUAGAGCUAGCAACCAAGUUUUGUGAAUUUUCUGUUAGGGCCUUGCCUACAAAGAGAAUUUUGGAAUAUUUCUGGCUUAGAAUUUAAGUAAUGUGGUUGUUCUGCCUGUUCAGUAACCACAGAGGAGAAGGUGAAAUAUAUCUAGGCACCGCAAACAGGCAUGAUAAUGAGUCUUGUAUGUGGACCCAGCAAAUAGGAGAAAUUUUGACUCUUAUAACUAGGUUUAGGAACAUGAGUGAUGUCCAGGAUCUCCUUCUGGUAAGAAGGUCACAGAAGAUUGCAACACUCACAAUUAUUUUGUAACACCUUUGGGUUGUAUAGGGAGUGUCGUAACAGGGCCAAACACACAGAGGAAAUUGUGACAGUCAUAUGCACACCUACCUGACAGUAAAGACUUUCACAAUCACAAAUGGAUGAAGGCAACUGUCCUACAUGAAAACAGGACAUGUGUGGUAUUGUACAUCUAAAACCUAGAAUUUUAUUCCAUUGUGACUGUGAUAUAAAUCAAUGCCAAGCACCUGCG
Molecule: long non-coding RNA, 2142 nt
Organism: Homo sapiens (human)
Lineage: Eukaryota; Metazoa; Chordata; Mammalia; Primates; Hominidae
Product: long intergenic non-protein coding RNA 293
Source: Ensembl